RNAcentral lists this unclassified non-coding RNA (409 nucleotides) under fungal sp. RNAcentral's name for it is "partial internal transcribed spacer region". The stretch from base 1 to 46 matches the Rfam family "Eukaryotic small subunit ribosomal RNA", at positions 1786 to 1831 of the family's 1831-position model. Lineage: Eukaryota; Fungi. The record is from RNAcentral.
AAGUCGUAACAAGGUUUCCGUAGGUGAACCUGCGGAAGGAUCAUUUUGGUUCUUUGUUUUGUGGGGUUUUACCGCAAAAAAAAACAACAACCAUAUUGUUUAUUAAAGCCAACCGUGUGCAAGUGUGCUGUUGCCAAAAAAACACAACAUGGCAGACAGCGUGUCGUGUGUGUAUUGCGGGGCCAGGUCUAUUUAUAGGGCUGGGCCCGCAGCACACUGCGCUGCAUGCAUGCUGCUUGCUGUGCUAUUUUUGGCUGUGCUAUUUUUGGCUGUGCUAUUUUUGGCUACAUGCCUUGAACUAAAAAUAAGCUGUGCUGGAAAGCGCUGAAAAAUGGCAGCCAUGUCUAAAGCAAGACGAUGGAUAACAAGAAAAAAAACGACAGUUUUAACGGUGGAUCUCUUGGCUCGU